CGUAGGGCAAGCGUUAUCCGGAUUUACUGGGUGUAAAGGGAGCGUAGACGGAGCAGCAAGUCUGAUGUGAAAGGCAGGGCUCAACCCCUGGACUGCAUUGGAAACUGUUGAUCUUGAGUACCGGAGAGGUAAGCGGAAUUCCUAGUGUAGCGGUGAAAUGCGUAGAUAUUAGGAGGAACACCAGUGGCGAAGGCGGCUUACUGGACGGUAACUGACGUUGAGGCUCGAAAGCGUGGGGAGCAAACAGGAUU
RNAcentral lists this ribosomal RNA (251 nucleotides) under uncultured bacterium. RNAcentral describes it as "partial 16S ribosomal RNA". It matches the Rfam family "Bacterial small subunit ribosomal RNA", at positions 528 to 779 of the family's 1533-position model. The record is from RNAcentral.